Non-coding RNA from Coffea arabica (coffee), 6306 nucleotides. The record is from RefSeq and is a predicted model, not a curated record. NCBI's taxonomy places the organism in Eukaryota, Viridiplantae, Streptophyta, Magnoliopsida, Gentianales, Rubiaceae.
AACCCUCGGCGGUUUGGUUGUUAGGUAAGAAUCGUCUAACUCGGUUUUCUGCAUCGGUUUAGGGCUGUGAAAUUAGUUAAAUUGGAAUUGUCAAUCGACGGUAGGCUCUGAUUUAUUCAUGAUUGCUUUAGGUGGUAGCUCUGGUAUUCGGCGUUUUCGCGAUCAUCAGAUAGUUCGAGUUUUUUUGCAAUAGUUUGGUUUGUUGAUAUGAUGAUAAUUUGUCCAUCGUUCCAAUUUAUCGGACAAUUUUGGUGUCGGUUUUCCUUCUUGUUAAUGUUUCGAAAUUCACCUUGUUGUAGAAUUGGCAGAAUGGAGGAGAGAAGCGCUCUGUUGGAUGGAUUUGAAUGUGGUCCGAAAAUUUGGGAGUUCUUCUCUAAUCCCCUCUUGGUCUUGGGUUGUUCUUAUCUUUGCUUGAUAAAGUCACCGCCUUUAUUUUAUGGGGUCAUUGCUGACGAGCUCUAGGUGUUGUCUUGAUCUUAGGGGAGCUUGGAUUCAAGGGUUUGGUCGUGAUUAUUAUCCUGUUCUCCUGUUUUACAAAAUUUUGGGGGAGUUUUUCUUUCCCUACUUGUGGCUUUGUGCUGUUUUCCUGAACAACGAUUGGGAGUUUUUUUUUGGAUAAUAAUGAUUGAAAAACCAUAGGAGUUAUCCAACAUACAUGACUUUGUUUGGUAUUCCAGUUUAUCUGACAAUUUGGCAUCACAUUACCGUAUUGUUGUUGUUGCUUAGAGAUUGGCCUUGCUUUUAGAACGGUGGAAUUCUGGCCUUACGAGGAGAGGAGAUGUUUUGACUGGUGCUCUAAAAUCGGGAAAUUUACCACCUUUUAGGGAGUUAUUAUUAUCUGGCUCUACAUGUUGUCUUGAUCGUAGGGGAGCUUGGAGUUUUGGUCAUUGUAGUUACCCUGCUAUAUUGGUUUACGAGAUUUCAUAAAAGUUUGCUCUUUUCCUACUUUUUUUAAAAAUUUUUUUUUUUUAAAGCUGUUUUUCCUUAGGACUGAUGGGGACCUUCUGGAUAUGGUGAUUGAUUUGCUCUGCAUCUACCUCGUUAGGAUUGAAGGAUUGAACAACUCAAGUUGUCUGUUUCAAAGGAACUAUUUAACUUCCUUGACAUGACUUUGGUUGCUGGAAUCUGGGUACAGAUGACUCGGAGGUUUGAUGACAACUUACGUCUCUUGUCCGAAAUCAAAGGCUUUUUGCAUUGUUAACAAAGGGAGUUCGCACUAUUUUUUCCUUUUUGCUUGAGCCAACUUAGUGGUUUUGACACCUGUAAAUAUCUCAUGUCCCCCCCUUAAUGUUAGGAUCUUGGAAUUGAGACCUGUAUCUUCUAAUGCAUCCAAAGGCAUUUCCUCUUCAUAUUUUUAAGUAACUUUUUUUGCUCAUGUAUUUCUUGUUUUUUGCUGACACUUUGUUUAAAGUUGUACUGAUUAUUGGUCUUGUUCCAGGGGGUUCCCUUCAUCCCAACCUUUUUAGUUGUGGUUGCUCUAAGAGCUUCUAAAUGGUUGUUCGGGUUAUAUGUCCUCAGCUGUGUAGUAGGCGUUUUUUGGAAGGAGUUCUGUUUCCCACCUGUAUACUUGAAGGUCGUCUCUUUAGGCGGAUGUGGAAUUUCAAGUUUUGCAAUACUGGGUUUGUCGUCAUUAUGUUUUUCUCAUACAUGACAAUUUAUUAUUGGAAGAUUUUGACAUCAGUUAACUUUAUUGAUAUGUUAUCUCUAUAAAAUGAGUUGGGGGCACAACUAUCAGCAUUUAAACAGUACGUGAAGGAGAGCUGUCCUAUCCAAGGGAUGUGACAGUUUAAAGUGUUUGAAAGUAUUUUUCAACAUUUCUAUGCUGAUUACUGUUUAUAACAAUCUAUAUUUGAAAGCCAACAGUUUGCGGGUCAUUUGACUUUGUAUACUCAUGGAUUUUUGGUGAUUUUGAGCUGUUGUUGUGGUAUCUCGGGGCUUCCUUCUUCCAAUCAAAGCUUAUCUUCCUUGUCUUGGAGGAGUCCUCUUCUACCUUGAGCUAAUUGCACCUAGUUGUUUUUGAACUUGGUGGUUUUGGGAAUAUUUUUAAUGUCCAUCUCUCAUCUGUACUAUAGUGGCUUGGAUUCAAGAUUGAUCGUUUAGUACUGUAGCUGUGAAUUAUCUUCAACAUGAUUCUUGAGCCAAAAAGUUGAGCAGUUCUUCUCUUUGAUACUUGGUGUGACUGGUUUUCUUAACCAACAGUGGACAGCUUUUGGUUAGUCAUAAACCCAUUCUGUCCUCUAAUUUGAUGAAGAAGUUUGUGUGGCUAAAAUGUCUGAAAAGAGCUAUCAACACCCUUAUGUGCUUAUUACUUCCAAGUCUGUUUGUCUAUCUUCAUUUUAGGAAGAAGCUUGGAAUUAAAGAACUCACUGGGUUAAAGUGAUUGAAUGGCGUUCUCUGCUUCUUUGGAGCAUUACAUUUUUUUUUGGAAUCAUCUGUAAGGACUUUCUGUGUUUGUUGUGUACGAUCUUGGGUUUGUGUCUCCCUGUUUUCAUCGAGAUCUUUGCUUUCUUCUUCUGAGCCUAACACCAUUUACAUUGUUUUGGAGGAACUCUUUUCUGCCUCUGACUAAUUGAUCCUCUGUGCAUGAUCAAUUUUCAGUUUUCUAUUGAUGUUGAUGUCUCCUCUCUAUUGUUGGAACUGGGGUGCAAGAUGGGUGUUGUGCUUGAAGAUUUCCUAGGCUCUUUUAUCUGCUUCUUGAUAAUUUGGCGAAUUCAUUCUGCUGUUUGGCGCGGCAUUACAAUUUAUCCAUCUGCAUGAUGUUGUGAGAGAAAAUGGGAGUCUCUUUGUCCCUACUUUCCUUCUGAGCUUUUCUUGAUGAAAUAGUGGAUAACAUGUCAUCUUCAUUUUGGAAGGAGCUUGGAUUUGGUGAGCUCAGUGAUGUCAUUAAAAUAAUUGAAAGGAGUUCUCUGCUUCCUCGUGUAUUACUUUGUUUGAAGAUUGACAGUUCUGGGAUUAUCUGUAACAACUAUAUAUCUACAUCUUAGGAUCUUGGGUUUCAACCAUGCUGUUGUCAUUUAGAUCUUAGGCUUUCUUUUGUCAAAGGAUAUUUACAUCAUUGAAGGUCAAACUAAUUGUUUGUUUGUGGUUGAUCAGUUAUUGGUUUUGGGGAUGUUAUUGACGAAUAUGUUUCCUUUACUCCAGCAGCUUGCAUUCAAGUGACAUCCCAGGCUCUUUUAUCUGCUUUUGAUUUUUUGUUGGAUUCAUUCUUUCAUUGGAGCAAUAAUUAUUUUUAAUUAUUUGGGGUGGCAGUGAAUUCUACUGUGCUGUAAUGCGGAGAGAAUUGCAAGUCCUGUGUUGUGGUUUACAUGAUUUUGCGGGAGAGCCGGAGUUUUUUGCUUUCCCUGCUUUUGCUGUUAGGUUUCUCUGAACAAUAAUGGACAGUUUCUGGUUAAAUUUUGAGAGGCUUCAUCAUCAUCAUUUUAGGAAUUGAAGAAAGUCAGUGUGCAGUUAUAAAGUGAUUGAAAGGUGUGUGUGUAUUACUUUGUUUUGGGUUAUCUGUAACGCCUUCGCAUAUUUGUUUUAGGAGUUUAAAUUGGUCUGAGCUGUUGUAGUGACAUCUUCGGUCUCCUUUAGAUUAAAGGCUAUCCACGUUGGUUUGAAAGGAAUUCUAUUCUGCCUAAACUAAUUGUUUGUCAGUGGUUGACAAUUGACGAUUUUUGGGAUGUGGUAGCAUCUGUGUCUUGUUUGUAUUCUAGGAGCUCAGGUUCAAGAUUGCUUUUUUGGUAACAUCUCUGGCUGUUUUAUCUGCUUUUGAAGCUCGUACUGGUCGGCAUAGUUUCACGAAUAACGCCCAUUCCUGGUUAUUUGGUGUGGUUAUGAAAUAAUUAUUCGUUCUGAUGCAAUUACUAAUUGCAGUUCACCAGCUUAAGUAAUAAAUAUAUGUUUUUUCCUGGUCUAUGAGUUGAUUUCAGAGGUUGAGGACUAGUUAUUUUAGUUUCUAUGGUGUAUUUACAGCAGCUGGUCCUUUUUUUGUUGCUGCAGAGAAUACAGUGACUGGAUGCUACUUGCUUUGCUAACACCUUUGAUAUAUGCAGUCUUAGUGUUGAUAAUAAAUGCUUUGGACUGUCGGACCCUGUAGAUUGCCGGGUUGAUUGAUGAACUGUCAAUUCUACUCUUUCAAGUACUUGCUACAAUUCUUGUUCUGCAACUUUCACAGUGGUUUUCAAAAUUUUCAAAUGGUCUUCUGGAGGGUUUUCCUUGGGUUUGGAGAAUUGUGGGUUCAGCUAUACAAAAUGGUGGUCAUCUAUUAUAUUUGUGGAACUGCUAAGAGGUGGUUGUGUUAGUAUUUGAUAAUCUACACUUCUGUUGGUGGUCUAUCAUGUCAUGUUGCUUUGCACACAUUUGUGGUUCUCCUCCUGCUUGUUUGGCUGGAUAUGCGUAUUUAAAAGAGCUUCUAAAGUUAAAGAAGUGAAGGUUUCCUCUUACUCAGGAGCUGACCUUCAUCCCAAACUCAGUUCUGUUUGCUCUGAGGAGGUAACUGGCAUCAUCAAUUACGCUGUCUUGCUCAAUUAGGGUGUGAAUUCGCUUGUUUUUGUCCUGUUGUUACCAGCAUUUACAUGAUUUCGGAGAGCUUCUCGUCAUAUGCAUCGUGAUGGUUGGGUUGGCUUCUGAAUGGUUGUUCAGGUUGUAUGUCCUCCUCUUCAUGUUAGGAGCUUAGGUUGAAGAACUCAUCCGUGUAGUGGGCAUUGUUUGGAAGUGGUUCUGGUUCUUUAUCUUUAUUACUUGAAUGUUGUCUCUUUAGGCAGCUGUGGAAUUUCAAGUUUCGCAAUGUUUGGUAUGUAAUCAUUUUUUAUGGUUCUCUCUUAGAUGACAAUUUGUUAUUCAAGGAUUUGAGAUCAGUUAACUCUAUUUAUAUGUUAUUUCUAUAAAAUGAGAGUUGGUGGCUUAACUAUCAGCAUUUAGAGAAUAUGUGAAGGAGAGCUAUCCAAGGGAUGUGACAGUUUAAGAGUGUUUGAAUGUAGUUCUCUGUGUCUCCACACUGAUCACUGUGUAUAACUGUUUGAAAACCAACAGGUUCUGUGCCAUUUGACUUUGUAUACUUGUGGAUUAUUGACAAUACCAGGCUGUUGUAGUGAUACCUAAGGGCUUCCUUCUUCCAAUCAAGCUGUAUACCUUGUUUUGGAGCAGUCUUCUUCUACCCUGAGCUAAUUGUUGCUAGUUGUUGCUGAAGUUGGUGGUUUUGGGAAUGUUUUUAAUGACCAUCUCUCAUCUGUGCUGUAGGGGCUUGGAUUCAAGGUUGAUCUUGUGUCUUAACACUUUUAAGGAUCUUUUAGUUGCUUUUGAUUGAUUUUGUGUGUGUGUGUGUGUGUGUUUUUUAAGUACCAAGGUGUGGCAGUCAAUUUGAUUGUUCAGUACUGUAGCCGUGAAUUGUGGUCAACAUUAUUCUUGAGCAGUUCUUCUCUUCAAAUACUUGGUGUACAGGCUUUCUUGAGCAACAGUGGGCAGUUUUUGGAACUGUGGUACAAGAUGGGUGUUGUGCUUGAAGAGACUCUAAGCCCUUUUAUUGCUUCUUGAUUAUUUGUCGAAUUCAUUCUGUUGUUUGGUGUGGCAGUAAAAUCUACCUCUCCGUAAUGUGGGUGAGAAGUGCAAGUCUAUGUUCUCUUGUUCAUGAUUUUGCAAGAGAAAAUGGGAGUUUUCUCCUUCCCUGUUUUUCUCCUGAGGUUUUCUUUGACCAAAUAGUUGACAUGUCAGGUUGACUAAGAUCUAUGUCAUCUUUAAUUUGGAAGGAUCUUGAAUUCGAGGAGCUCAGUCAUGUCGCUAAAGUAACUGAAAGGAGUUCUUUGCUGCCCUUCAUGUAUUACUUUGUUUGAAGAUUGACAGUUUCUGGAUUAUCUAUAAAAUUCAUUCUUUCUUCACUGGUUUAAUGAAUAAUCUUUCUUAAUCAUUUGGUGUGGCAGUAAAUUCCAUGUUCUGUAAUGUGAUGAGAAUUGCAAGGGCUGUGUUGUGGUCUAAAUGAUUUUGAAGGAGAACCAGAGGAGUAAUUUCCUUUCCCUAUUUUUCAUAUUGGGUUUCUGUGAACAAUAAUGAACUGUUUCUGGUUAUCUAUUGAAAUGCUCCUGUUCAUCAUCAUUUUAGGAAGGAGGUUGGAAUUGAAGAAGUCAGUUGUGUGGUUAAAGUGAUUGAAAGGACUGUGUAUUAGUAUGUCUUAGGCUAUCUGUUAUGCCUUUGCAUAUUUGUUUUACGAGUUUCAAUUGGUUGGAGCGGUUGUAGUGACAUCUGUGGCCUCCUUCAGAUUAGAGGCUAUCCAUAUUGGUUUGAAGGAAUCCUAUUCUAUCUAAAUCAAUUGUUUGUUAGUGCUUGACAAAA